CCUGAAUAUUGUGUCUUUGUAAGUGUUCAUCCAGAUGCCAUGUAAACAUAUGUACAGGCUCUAUUAAAACUACUUCCUUAGGCACAGGAUUCCACAUCCUUAUUGUACAUUAAAUCUAAACUGCAAAUUUAAGUGCCAUGUCCCCUAAUCUAUUGUUUCUCAACCUUUUACGGAAAAGUACCCCUGCAGGUCUAAAUAAAAAUCCUAAUUACCCAUGCCUCGAAAAAGUUAUUUCUAUUGGUUUAAAUUCCAUAUGAAAUAUGCACACAGAAUUACACACAGAAGACACUGACACACACACAUAUACAAAGAGAACAGACAUACACAAACACACAUUUACAUACACAGGAAACUGACACAUACACACAGGGUUCUGCCACCUCUAACAUGGCCGAACUUCCUAUCCUGACCUCAAAUACACAGUAUACUAAGACGUGUAAAACAGUCCCGAUUCUUGUAAUUUCGGCAGUAAGAAAAAUGGCGAAAUACUUCCGGUGAAGUAUUUCCAGUCGGCGUUUCUCUGUAUCUUGUUUUCUCAUGCCUUCCUGGUAGAAAAGUUCUUAAAGAGUCCAUGUCUUGGGUGUAAUUAUCGCAAAAUAUAUAACUCCAUUCAUAGCAUACAUGGAAACAAACAGAAUAAAAAAAUUGUGUUAAAUCUGACCUGGACAUAUGAGAUAAGACUAUAUAACCUAUGUAAUAAAUGUAUAUCCUCUACAUUAAAAAGAAAGAUAUAUAAUAAAAUAACAUAAUUAAUCAUAUAUAGCCAAAUAUAAUAAUACACUUGGUAAAAUAAUAAAAGAUUGUAAUAACAAUAUAUAGAG
Pelobates cultripes (western spadefoot toad) is the source of this 821-nucleotide non-coding RNA. Lineage: Eukaryota; Metazoa; Chordata; Amphibia; Anura; Pelobatidae. The record is from the annotation of a GenBank genome assembly.